RNAcentral lists this ribosomal RNA (463 nucleotides) under uncultured bacterium. RNAcentral describes it as "partial 16S ribosomal RNA". It matches the Rfam family "Bacterial small subunit ribosomal RNA", at positions 338 to 794 of the family's 1533-position model. The record is from RNAcentral.
CCUACGGGUGGCAGCAGUAGGGAAUCUUCGUCAAUGGGCGCAAGCCUGAACGAGCAAUGCCGCGUGAACGAGGAAGGUCUUCGGAUCGUAAAGUUCUGUUGAAGGGGAAAAAGAGCGGAGAGAGGAAAUGGUCUCCGAUUGAUAUUACCCUUCGAGGCAGUCACGGCUAACUACGUGCCAGCAGCCGCGGUAAUACGUAGGUGGCGAGCGUUAUCCGGAAUGAUUGGGCGUAAAGGGUGCGUAGGCGGCCUGCUAAGUCUGGAGUGAAAGGUACCGGCUCAACCGGUACAGGCUCUGGAAACUGGCGGGCUAGAGAGCAGGAGAGGGCGGUGGAACUCCAUGUGUAGCGGUAAAAUGCGUAGAUAUAUGGAAGAACACCAGUGGCGAAGGCGGCCGCCUGGCCUGGUACUGACGCUGAGGCACGAAAGCGUGGGGAGCAAAUAGGAUUAGAUACCCCAGUAGU